GACGAACGCUGGCGGCGUGCUUAACACAUGCAAGUCGAACGGUGAAGCGCCUUCCUUUUUGGAGGGUGUGGAUGAGUGGCGAACGGGUGAGUAACACGUGAGUAACCUGCCCCCUUCUUCUGGAUAACCGCAUGAAAGUGUGGCUAAUACGGGAUAUUCUGGGUCUGUCGCAUGAUGGGUCUGGGAAAGAUAUUGUUUCGGUGGGGGAUGGGCUCGCGGCCUAUUAGCUUGUUGGUGGGGUGAUGGCCUACCAAGGCGGCGACGGGUAGCCGGCCUGAGAGGGUGGACGGUCACACUGGGACUGAGACACGGCCCAGACUCGUACGGGAGGCAGCAGUGGGGAAUAUUGCACAAUGGGCGCAAGCCUGAUGCAGCGACGCCGCGUGAGGGAUGGAGGCCUGCGGGUUGUGAACCUCUUUCGCCAGUGAAGCAGGCCUGCCUCGUUUGUGGGUGGGUUGACGGUAGCUGGAUAAGAAGCGCCGGCUAACUACGUG
RNAcentral lists this ribosomal RNA (494 nucleotides) under uncultured bacterium. RNAcentral describes it as "partial 16S ribosomal RNA". It matches the Rfam family "Bacterial small subunit ribosomal RNA", at positions 28 to 507 of the family's 1533-position model. The record is from RNAcentral.